UAACUUGCGCGCGAGUCGUCGAGCUUUUGCGCAAACUCGAAGGCGAAAUGAAUGUGAAGGCACCUCCUCGAGAGGCGCUGACGGAUGAUCCCCGGCCAAUCGUCCACAGAGUCGGCGGGCGGCCGGGGCGCAAUCCGGGGGCAUCGAAGCGGCUUAUCGCCCGCUGGGUGCACCUAGAGCGCGCGCGUUGGGACCCGAAAGAUGGUGAACUAUGCCUGGCGAGGGCGAAGCCAGGGGAAACUCUGGUGGAGGCCCGUUUGGAUUCUGACGUGCAAAUCGAUCCUCGAAGCUGGGUAUAGGGGCGAAAGACUAAUCGAACCAUCUAGUAGCUGGUUCCUCCCGAAGUUUCCCUCAGGAUAGCUGGUGCUCGUCGUGAGACGACAAGUUUCAUCCGGUAAAGCGAAUGAUUAGAGGCAUUGGGGGCGAAAUGACCUCAACCUAUUCUCAAACUUUAAAUGGGUGAGAUGCCGAGCUUUCUCGAAUGAAGCUCCUGGCGUUUGAAUUGAAAGAGCACCAAGUGGGCCACUUUUGGUAAGCAGAACUGGCGCUGUGGGAUGAACCAAACGUCGAGUUACGGCGCCCGAAUAAACGCAAAUCUGAUCCCAUGAAGGGUGUCGGUUGCUCUAGACAGCAGGACGGUGGCCAUGGAAGUUGGAAUCCGACUAAGGAG
This 670-nucleotide ribosomal RNA is filed under the name Chrissia dongqianhuensis. Its description in RNAcentral is "eukaryotic LSU rRNA". It matches the Rfam family "Eukaryotic large subunit ribosomal RNA", at positions 676 to 1278 of the family's 3401-position model. The record is from RNAcentral. Lineage: Eukaryota; Metazoa; Arthropoda; Ostracoda; Podocopida; Cyprididae.